RNAcentral lists this ribosomal RNA (249 nucleotides) under uncultured Hyphomicrobiales bacterium. RNAcentral's name for it is "uncultured Rhizobiales bacterium partial 16S ribosomal RNA". It matches the Rfam family "Bacterial small subunit ribosomal RNA", at positions 796 to 1041 of the family's 1533-position model. The record is from RNAcentral. Lineage: Bacteria; Pseudomonadati; Pseudomonadota; Alphaproteobacteria; Hyphomicrobiales.
CACGCCGUAAACGAUGGAUGCUAGCCGUUGGACAGCUUGCUGUUCAGUGGCGCAGCUAACGCAUUAAGCAUCCCGCCUGGGGAGUACGGUCGCAAGAUUAAAACUCAAAGGAAUUGACGGGGGCCCGCACAAGCGGUGGAGCAUGUGGUUCAAUUCGAAGCAACGCGCAGAACCUUACCAACCCUUGACAUGUCCAGUAUGGGUUUCAGAGAUGAGACCCUUCAGUUCGGCUGGCUGGAACACAGGUGC